AGUGAACGCUGGCGGUAGGCCUAACACAUGCAAGUCGAACGGCAGCACAGUAAGAGCUUGCUCUUACGGGUGGCGAGUGGCGGACGGGUGAGGAAUACAUCGGAAUCUACUUUUUCGUGGGGGAUAACGUAGGGAAACUUACGCUAAUACCGCAUACGACCUACGGGUGAAAGCAGGGAUCUUUGGACCUUGCGCGAUUGAAUGAGCCGAUGUCGGAUUAGCUAGUUGGCGGGGUAAAGGCCCACCAAGGCGACGAUCCGUAGCUGGUCUGAGAGGAUGAUCAGCCACACUGGAACUGAGACACGGUCCAGACUCCUACGGGAGGCAGCAGUGGGGAAUAUUGGACAAUGGGCGCAAGCCUGAUCCAGCCAUACCGCGUGGGUGAAGAAGGCCUUCGGGUUGUAAAGCCCUUUUGUUGGGAAAGAAAAGCAGCAGGUUAAUACCCCGCUGUUCUGACGGUACCCAAAGAAUAAGCACCGGCUAACUUCGUG
Molecule: ribosomal RNA, 491 nt
Filed under: uncultured bacterium
Lineage: Bacteria
Description: partial 16S ribosomal RNA
Rfam family: Bacterial small subunit ribosomal RNA
Source: RNAcentral